UGCCAGCCGCCGCGGUAACACGAACCGGGCAAACGUUAUUCGGAAUCACUGGGCUUAAAGGGUGCGUAGGCGGCGCUAUCAGUCGGGUGUGAAAUCCCACGGCUCAACCGUGGAACUGCGCCCGAUACUGUAGUGCUUGAGGGAGAUAGAGGUGAGCGGAACGAAUGGUGGAGCGGUGAAAUGCGUUGAUAUCAUUCGGAACACCCGUGGCGAAAGCGGCUCACCGGGUCUCUUCUGACGCUGAGGCACGAAAGCUAGGGUAGCAAAUGGGAUUAGAUA
This 279-nucleotide ribosomal RNA is filed under the name uncultured bacterium. Its description in RNAcentral is "partial 16S ribosomal RNA". It matches the Rfam family "Bacterial small subunit ribosomal RNA", at positions 506 to 784 of the family's 1533-position model. The record is from RNAcentral.